GUACACACAACAGAAAAACAAGUGUACUACAUGAGAGACAACUCUGAUGGAAAUGGACAUUCUGACCAGUACCAGGACUUCAUACAAAGAGAAUUGAAUGAGUUGCACAGGAUUCAGGAAGCUGAGAAACAAAUUCUGUUGGAUCUAAAGGAAAAAUCAAUGUUUGAGAAAUCACACAAUCUAGAGGCUGAAUUAGCUGCAAUACAGACACUGAAAAGAGAAUUAGAAGC
Molecule: long non-coding RNA, 230 nt
Organism: Mytilus trossulus (common blue mussel)
Lineage: Eukaryota; Metazoa; Mollusca; Bivalvia; Mytilida; Mytilidae
Exons: 3
Source: RefSeq, a predicted model, not a curated record